This is a small nuclear RNA of Talpa occidentalis (Iberian mole), 103 nucleotides long. The record is from RefSeq and is a predicted model, not a curated record. Lineage: Eukaryota; Metazoa; Chordata; Mammalia; Eulipotyphla; Talpidae.
UUACUUCAAGAGUAUAUAUACCGAUAUUAGAACAAUACAGGGAGGAUUAGUCUGUCUCCUUUUCAAAGAUGAAAUGCAAAUUUGUGAAUGUUUAUAAUUUUUA